UUGAACGUAUCAAGAGCCUUGUUUAAAUAGUUCAUCUGAGUGAUCACACAGGUAACCACAACCAAGGUAAAGGCCCACGUUUGGGGGUAUACUAACUGAUUCAUCCCUGAGAAAGUUAGCUUCAGAGCAAUUCCAAUUGCUUUGACACCCAUGACCGAUAGUGAACCCACAAGUGAACAAACUGCUAUAUAGACCAUAACAUGAGUCUGCCCAUAUUGGGGUAUAACACGAACAAUGAUGAUGAAAACUGCUCCAAUGACAAAAGUAGCAUAGAAAAGAAAGGCUGGCUCUGUUGCAAGUUCCCACACUUCCUUGACAGACUCAAUCUCUCGCUCUUGAGGAGCAUGCAACACAAUUGUUGUUGAACCCACAACGCAUAAAGCACAACCAAGAAUCCCAAAAAUAUGCAAUUUCUCCCGUAAAAUAACAUGUGCUAGGGCAGCACUGAUAAUAAUGCUAAGGGCACCAAGAGGAGUGACCAGAAUAGCUGGAGCAAAUGCAUAAGCUGCAAAGUUAGCAAUUUCCCCAACAACCAUUGUAAUCAUGCCAAUCCACCAAAGUGGCUCAUACAGGUAAGAAUAACCCCCAGCACCUGCCCUGAGACCAGAAGCAGCAGCUUUUUUCAAACCCUUUUUCUUUACAAUAAAGCUUGCUCCAAUAAAGAAGCUGGAAGACAAAGCUAACACCAGCCCCUUUAUGUUAUCAGAAGACAUUCCCUUGUCUGAGUCCACCAUAGCUCUAACUCCUCAACAUCCAGAGACCGCCAAUAAUAUUUCACGUCAAAAGGUACCACUGCCACCGUUUCCAUUCCAUAAUUGAAUUCUCCCUCCCUACUGAAUUCUUAUAAGCAUUAUAUGGCGCGCAUAAAAAGCUAUGUGAGCAUGCGAUUAUCCCACUCCAAUGUGCAUGUACAGAGUCACAAACAGAGCCAGCGAGAGAUCUAGCAGAGAAAGGGGAAAUUGGGAUUUGGGAAGAUAUGGCGGUCGAUCGAGGUAUUUAGAUUUCCAUGGCAAGGAGACGAGAGACGGAAACUGAACUAGUUAAUUCGAUGAAAAGGAAAUU
RNAcentral lists this unclassified non-coding RNA (1062 nucleotides) under Hevea brasiliensis (rubber tree). Lineage: Eukaryota; Viridiplantae; Streptophyta; Magnoliopsida; Malpighiales; Euphorbiaceae. The record is from RNAcentral.